GGAAGAGGUCUUGUACCAAAUAAUUGGAAUGUACCUAGUCAGGCUAAAACUGCCACUCCUUUGUCCUCUGAUGGGAAUUACCAAGUGGUCUUACCUGAAGCCUCAAUUCCGCCACUUUCUAUUGGGUUAGGAACUUCUUCUAAUGAUGCAGAAGUGGAAAGGAUAUGGCAAUACCAGGAUCCGACUGGAAAAGUUCAGGGUCCAUUUU
Molecule: unclassified non-coding RNA, 208 nt
Filed under: Hevea brasiliensis (rubber tree)
Lineage: Eukaryota; Viridiplantae; Streptophyta; Magnoliopsida; Malpighiales; Euphorbiaceae
Source: RNAcentral